AUGGUGUCCGCGCGGAAGGGCCAGGGCCGCGGAGGCGGGGUCCGAGGCCCUCCCCGCGUCGACGGCGGCGGCAGCCUGGCUUCGCGCGUGGCCGUGCUCGCCUUCUGCGUCGGCGGGAUCUGGUCGUCCUACAUCACCCAGGGGAUCCUCCAGGAGACGCUAUCGACGAAGCGAUUCGGGCCGGAGGAGCGGCGGUUCGAUCACCUCGCGUUCCUCAACUUCGCGCAGAACGUCGUCUGCUUCGUCUGGUCCUUCAUAAUGAUCAAGCUGUGGUCGGGUGGUAGCAGUCCUGCCGGGCGGGCGCCGCUUCUCAAGUACUGGGGCGUCAGCAUCACCAACACCAUCGGCCCGACCAUGGGGAUCGAGGCGCUCAAGUACAUCAGCUACCCGGCUCAGGUCUUGGCAAAAUCUUCUAAGAUGAUUCCAGUUAUGUUGAUGGGAACUAUACUCUAUGGUGUUAAGUAUACACUUCCAGAGUACUUUUGCACCUUCCUUGUUGCCGGGGGCGUCUCAUCCUUUGCAUUGUUGAAGACAAGCUCGAAGACUAUCAAGAAGCUUGCUAACCCUAAUGCUCCUCUUGGCUACGGGUUGUGCUUCCUCAACUUAGCUUUUGAUGGCUACACUAAUUCGACCCAAGAUUUGAUAAAGUCCAGGUACCCCAAGACUAACCCUUGGGAUAUAAUGCUUGGCAUGAACCUCUGGGGAACCAUAUACAAUACUGUAAUUAUGUUUGUGGCGCCAUUGCUGUUCAGUAACUGGCCAUAUGCAAACGGUUUUGAGGCGGUGAGUUUUUGCCGCGAGAACCCAGAGGUAGCAUGGGACAUUCUCAUGUUCUGCCUAUGCGGCGCUGUGGGUCAGAAUUUCAUCUUCCUAACCAUCAGCAGAUUCGGCUCUCUUACUAACACUACCAUCACCACCACCCGCAAGUUCAUGAGCAUCGUCAUCUCAUCAGUUAUCAGUGGUAACCCACUGUCCAUGGAGCAAUGGGGAAGUGUCGUGAUGGUCUUUUCUGGCCUCUCUCUCCAAAUAUAUCUCAAAUGGAAGAGAAAGAAGGGCAGAGAUCACAAGGAAUGA
This 1074-nucleotide ribosomal RNA is filed under the name Triticum aestivum (bread wheat). Its description in RNAcentral is "partial small subunit ribosomal RNA". The record is from RNAcentral. Lineage: Eukaryota; Viridiplantae; Streptophyta; Magnoliopsida; Poales; Poaceae.